RNAcentral lists this ribosomal RNA (426 nucleotides) under uncultured bacterium. RNAcentral describes it as "bacterial SSU rRNA". It matches the Rfam family "Bacterial small subunit ribosomal RNA", at positions 354 to 796 of the family's 1533-position model. The record is from RNAcentral.
GUGAGGAAUAUUGCACAAUGGGGGCAACCCUGAUGCAGCGACGCCGCGUGGGUGAUGACGGCCUUCGGGUUGUAAAGCCCUUUUGCCAUUGACGAGAACGGACGGUAGAUGGCGAAUAAGCCUCGGCUAACUACGUGCCAGCAGCCGCGGUAAAACGUAGGAGGCGAGCGUUAUCCGGAGUUACUGGGCGUAAAGCGUGCGCAGGCGGUGCCAUAAGUCAGGUGUGAAAGGUUCCGGCUCAACCGGGAAAACGCGCUUGAGACUGUGGGACUAGAGUGGGAUAGAGGGACGUGGAAUUCCGGGUGGAGCGGUGAAAUGUGUAGAGAUCCGGAGGAACACCAGAGGCGCAAGCGGCGUCCUGGGUCCCAACUGACGCUGAGGCACGAAAGCUUGGGGAGCGAACGGGAUUAGAAACCCUUGUAGUCC